RNAcentral lists this long non-coding RNA (1039 nucleotides) under Bos indicus x Bos taurus (hybrid cattle). RNAcentral describes it as "lncRNA (ENSBIXG00000029728.1)". Lineage: Eukaryota; Metazoa; Chordata; Mammalia; Artiodactyla; Bovidae. The record is from RNAcentral.
AUGAGUGGGCAAGUGGCAUCAACAUUGGGACCUACAAAGCAAGAUUGCUCCCAGGUGGAUGAACCUGUGGUUGACCAGCAGCCCAGUGUUGAGCAGCCUCAACAAGAGAAACCGCCAGCUGAGAUUCAGGAUAUCACACCUAGACAGGAGGAAGUACAUGGAGAGGAUCCAGUGAAUCGUGAUGAAGAAGAGGAGAAGGAUCCCUUUGAAGGUAAAAUUCUGGCCUGGAAGCUGAUCUCCAGCAAUUGGCUCUGGCAAAGACUGGGGGUGAAGGUGGAGAUGGUCCCGAUGUCAGGGAGGAGUUUGCAUCAAAUACAGAGCCUGGUGAAAUGCCAGAAGCAGGGUGCAUUUUGUUGUUAGAUAUUUUACUGAAUGUGUAAAAUUCAGUGAUUCACACACACACACACACACACACUCACAGACAACUGGAGGGCUUCUGAGAUCUGGUGACUGUCAAGCCAAUGGAGGACAUCAUGGAGAAGAAAAGAUGUUUAUGGCUGUUCUCUCCCUGCACCCAAAAAACCCUUGGAAGGCAAGUCAGAAAUGUGUGAAAGAUAUGCUGUGCCAUUUGCCAUGCAGUUUGACAGCAGUUCUUUUCCUGUCUCCCUACAACCUUUAACAAUGGCUUUGGCAUUCCAUUUCUCUCUAUAUUAAGUUUUAUAUAUAUAUAUAUAUAAUAUACAAUAUAUAUAAUAUAAUAUCUCUAUAUUAAGUUUAUAUAUAAUAUAAAACUGUGUAUUAUAAAACAGUUUUGCCUUCUACUGAAAACUACCUUCUGAUAGGUUCCAUUGAUUUCAUUUGUCUGAACUCAGUGUCCUUUUCUUGUAUAACUAGCAAGAGUAGUGUGUUUUUAAAAAUACUGGUAACAUGCCUGAGAAGUCUAUAAAAUCUCUAGAGAGGAUUAACUGAAGGUAAGCCAAAGGUCGCCCUUAGUGUUCCCUGUUUUAGUCCAUUUUAUAAAACUACAACUGCAGUGAACUUUGUAUACCUCUCCUGUCAUCGAAAUAAAGUUCUGCUAAGUAACUUUUUAAUGUUUAUA